This is a long non-coding RNA of Solanum lycopersicum (tomato), 433 nucleotides long. RefSeq lists it as uncharacterized. NCBI's taxonomy places the organism in Eukaryota, Viridiplantae, Streptophyta, Magnoliopsida, Solanales, Solanaceae. The record is from RefSeq and is a predicted model, not a curated record.
CACAUCCAUUGUUGUGAUUCAAGCUACAGUGAAGGCGAGAUCUUUAAUUCUAUUUAUAAUCAAAGUGAGAUCUUUGAUUCUUGACCUCGAAUGCUAAAAUAGUUUUAAUGCGUACCUUCUUGUUGUUUUUAGGAGAUGGCAUAAUUAUGGAAUCACUCAAGUAUACACUAAUUUUAACCAAUCAAAACUCAAAGAAACUUUGCAAGAGGUCAAUAUAUGGAUUUGACAGAACCAAACUCCUCAUACUGGUGAUAUGAAGAGUUUUGCGAAAAAUUCACAAGGCAAAUGGAAAAAUAUUUAUCGAGGCAAAAUGUGGACUGAGACUCAUAAGACAAAAGUUGGAUAUUAUGUAACUGAGGCGACUAGAGAUAUUGGGCAAACGUGCUAUCGACUUUGACUCGUCCGCAACUCUAGCCAGUCUCUUGCAUAUCAG